RNAcentral lists this long non-coding RNA (748 nucleotides) under Parus major (Great Tit). RNAcentral's name for it is "lncRNA (ENSPMJG00000012822.1)". Lineage: Eukaryota; Metazoa; Chordata; Aves; Passeriformes; Paridae. The record is from RNAcentral.
CUUUAUGUGGGCAUACCUAUUUGAUUUGUCCACUGACCAGUCCUUAGCAAUCCUUUUUUUUCUCUGCUGCUGACAAACCCAUGUUCAAGAGCUGUAGGGUGAUUCCUGACCUGAAGGGAAGCAGAGCUGGAGUAGUGUCCUUGUCUAUACUGUCACUCAGGAAUGAGCAGCUUGGCUGGGAGAGGGAAGCACUGGCCUUGUCCCCUCAUCCCAAGAGGCACUGGAGGAGAGCCCUGCCUGGAUGGAGCUGGCAGGCCCAGGUGGGGAAGGCCCAGGCCAGCAGGUGUGCACUCCUGUCUGUGAGGUGUAUGGUGCCUUUUCAGUGCACAAUUCUGGGUCCUGUAGAAGUGAAUCGUCUGAAUAAUAUAUGUAAUUUGAAAAAUGCUUACCUUGCACCCACCUUAAGUAAGAAAAAAUAUUACCCUGCACCCACCUUCCUCCUUGAGUUAAAGUACCUGCGGAGAAUAAUUCCAUCUACGUGUACCCUAAAGCUAGAGGCUGAUUCAGAGAAACCUACUUAGCUUUUGUCUGCUGUAGUACACAGGAUGUGGAAAGAAAGACUGCCCUAAGAAGAAGCUGGGAAAAACAUUUUGAGGACCUUGGAGGUUGCUGGAUGACUCUGUGAUAUUGGAGAGUCCAAUAUUUGCAUUUCCUUCCUCAUUGUAACAGAAAAAUUUUCAGUAGUCUCUACAGGAACUGUUUAUCUAAAGGCUGUGUUGAGAGUUUGGAAAUAAACAUGUGUUUUAGC